RNAcentral lists this small nuclear RNA (317 nucleotides) under Mus pahari (shrew mouse). RNAcentral's name for it is "sRNA (MGP_PahariEiJ_G0008404.1)". It matches the Rfam family "7SK RNA". From Rfam's summary of the family: 7SK was discovered as an abundant small nuclear RNA in the mid-70s but a possible function has only recently been suggested. Two independent studies have found that 7SK RNA binds the CDK9/cyclin T complex (known as elongation factor P-TEFb). Lineage: Eukaryota; Metazoa; Chordata; Mammalia; Rodentia; Muridae. The record is from RNAcentral.
GAGUGUGAGAAGAAUCUUGCUGCAAUGCCAAUCACUCCAGUUGUAGCCAAAGUUGGUUUGGCUGAUCUCAUCCACUAGGCAGGUGGCCCCUUCCUCCAUCUCAACUCCAUUUAAAAGCUAUAUUCUCCAUCCAAAAAGGAUAACCUGUCCUAAUAGAAGACUGUUCUUUGGCCAUGAGUGUAUGAGUGACUGUGCUUAUGUACUCAAACUUUAAAAAGCUCCCAUGUUCCAUUUGUAGAAGAACAGAGGGUAGUCAAGCUUCCAAAACUCCAGAUAUUACCAGAUGUGGCAUUGCAUGGGGAAAAUUGUCUUACUAA